GAGGGUAUAGCUCAGUGGUAGAGUACCUGCUUAGCAUGCACAAGCUGCUGGGUUCAAUCCCCAGUCCCUCU
Molecule: transfer RNA, 71 nt
Filed under: Camelus bactrianus (Bactrian camel)
Lineage: Eukaryota; Metazoa; Chordata; Mammalia; Artiodactyla; Camelidae
Also listed under: 2 other names
Rfam family: tRNA
About the family: Transfer RNA (tRNA) molecules are approximately 80 nucleotides in length. Their secondary structure includes four short double-helical elements and three loops (D, anti-codon, and T loops).
Source: Rfam by way of RNAcentral